UGAGAGGAGAGAGAUCCUCAAGGGCACGUGCCAACAUUUGGACACGCCCUCUCUUUCCCUUCUUAUUUUUCAUGCAUGGCAUAAGAGGAGGCAUGGCCCCUCUUGUGCGCCCUCCUUUUCCUGCAUUUGGGAUGAGAAAGAAUUCCAAUUUCUAGCCCAAAUUAAAUUUGGUUUGAAUCUAAUUCAAUUUUAAAUUCAAUUAGAUUUAGUCAAAUUCA
RNAcentral lists this long non-coding RNA (218 nucleotides) under Elaeis guineensis (African oil palm). RNAcentral's name for it is "long non-coding RNA (EGUI_LNC052493)". Lineage: Eukaryota; Viridiplantae; Streptophyta; Magnoliopsida; Arecales; Arecaceae. The record is from RNAcentral.